This 17-nucleotide small RNA is filed under the name Arabidopsis thaliana (thale cress). Its description in RNAcentral is "ATSL249370". The record is from RNAcentral. Lineage: Eukaryota; Viridiplantae; Streptophyta; Magnoliopsida; Brassicales; Brassicaceae.
UCACAGUAUCCAAGUUA